This is a non-coding RNA of Cinara cedri, 327 nucleotides long. NCBI's taxonomy places the organism in Eukaryota, Metazoa, Arthropoda, Insecta, Hemiptera, Aphididae. The record is from the annotation of a GenBank genome assembly.
UUGAUAAACCAACAUUAUCAACUAAACUCCACUCAGAAUCGUUUUUUCGUUAGCAAUGGUUUCAUAGGCGUGCACAGGGAAUGCCAUAAAUAAAACGGGCUAUUUUUCUUUGGACUUUUAUCCUCUCACUUAAACACAGAAUAUAAUGAAUACAAAAUAUCGUUUCAUUAAAAAUCAUAUUGUCCAUCUACAUUUUAUACUAGUAUUAUAUUAUCUAAAUAUCUAAAUAUUUAUCACGACGACGGUAUUUUUUUUAAUGACACAAGUAAUAUGUUAAUGAUUCAUUUAAUCAAGUCAACAAUAUUAUAUUUUGUGGAAAUAGUAAGU